AUAUAUAUAUAUAUAUAUAUAUAUAUAUAUAAUAUAGAUGAGUAAUUAUAUAUCUGCUGGUUAAUCAAUGAUGAGAGGCAUAAGAUGAUAACAAGUCCAAAGGAAGCAGAUUUAUCUAGUGAUAAUAAAAUCACAAAGGCUUCAUCAUCUUGUACUUCAACGCCAUGGUUAAGAUUGAAGGAUCCAAGGAUAGUGAGAGUAUCGCGUGCUUUUGGAGGAAAAGACAGGCAUAGCAAGGUUUGCACCAUAAGAGGAUUAAGAGACAGGCGGGUGAGGCUUUCAGUACCCACUGCUAUUCAAUUGUAUGAGCUUCAAGAUAGGCUUGGCCUUAAUCAGCCUAGCAAAGUUAUUGAUUGGUUGCUCAAUGCAGCCAAGCAUGAAAUCGAUGAGCUCCCGCCCUUGCCUAUACCACCGCCCGGUAGCUUUAGCCUAAGUCAUCAACCAAUGCUUCCUUCUAAUGAUCAAGUCGGUGCUUCUCAAUCCAAUGAAGAAGGGUUUUAUAAGAUGAAUAGCAGCUUUUGGAGUUCCGAUGCGCCUUUUUGGCGGGCUAAAUCCAAAGAAUCAGUCAAUCCAAAGGACAAUUGGGCAAGAAGGAGUGAAGAAGAAGAAAAACUAGAAGGUAAUGAAUUUCCAUCUAAUAGCUUCUUGUCAAGAGCUAAUUUACCUUCCUUAGCAGGUUUACUCAUGAAUAGUAGUACUGCUGUGCCAUACAAUAAUUAUCACUGCGAUCCUUCAAAUUUUCCCCCUCAUCAUUUUGGAAGCCAUGGAUUCAUCAGUACAGCUCAAGCAGAAGAUCACCACAGCUGUAGUAUCAUGCCAUUGCCUUCUACUUUGUCUUUAUCAACACAAUCUUUUUUCCCUCCGCAUGCUGUUAUGGCUUCAGUGGGGGAGAUUGAUCCCAGACAAGUCAACCAUUUUCAAAUGUUGAGCUCAAGCUCACAUAAUAACCUCUUGCAAAAUUCUCUCGCGCAACCUGUAUACCCUAUAAGCCAACCAAUAAGGCCUGUCCAGUACUUCAGCAUGACUCCUAAGCUUCUUCAUUCUCCAACCAACGACAGAGGAUCAAUGGAUCAGCCAAAUCAUGAAGACCAAGAUUCUCCCUCUAAAUGAUACAGAAACAAUAAAGUGUUAUUAUAAGGAAAGUUGCUGUUCGUUUCAAGAAACAAUUAAGCAUCUCAAAAAUCUUCUUUAAACAGUCGUACAAAGAAGAAGCAGUGAGCAACAAAGAAUGCCGAAGAACACGGUGAGCAACGAAGAACAUGGUGAGAAUCAAAAAGUCGAAGAAAGAAAAUCGAAAACAUAAACAGUCCUUCUCUCGCUCCCUCGUCGAUGAUGAGGCUUUUCAAAUGGAAAGACAAUUCCUUCUCUGAUACCUCACCCCAGUCAUUCUGUCCCUCCCCUUUAAUUUGCUGAUGCCACUAGUGAUCGGACUGGCGAGGCUGAUUCGGCUUGUGUACCACAACAAGAAGGUGGGGUUUUGCAUGGAUUCUGAGGCCUUGGCCGCGCUCCAGCUCCUCAAGGGACCCAUUGGCGUCGUCUCCGGCCAACUCAUCAAUGAUGAGUGAAAUUUAAGGUUUAUGGAUUUUUCAGUAACUUGAUUAGUGCUUUCCUUUAGUUGGUUUUAUAAUUUGUGAAUUGAGAUGGUCUUUUAGGGUUUUAAAGCUAGAGAACUGUUCCAGUGUGAUAAAUGCAUGGUGGUUUAAUUUUGUGAUUUGAGCAAUUUAGGAGAGCUUUAGUACUCGUAUUAGGACAAUUUUUUUGGUUUUCUUCUUAUUUCUCUUGAGUGAUAUUUUCGGUUCUGCUUUGUUCUUAAU
RNA transcript from Alnus glutinosa, 1814 nucleotides. It is a transcript of the gene named transcription factor TCP13, with no coding region annotated. The record is from RefSeq and is a predicted model, not a curated record. Lineage: Eukaryota; Viridiplantae; Streptophyta; Magnoliopsida; Fagales; Betulaceae. The transcript has 2 exons.